CCCUCGACUGAUGGCGACGGCCGGCUC
Molecule: small RNA, 27 nt
Filed under: Bombyx mori (domestic silkworm)
Lineage: Eukaryota; Metazoa; Arthropoda; Insecta; Lepidoptera; Bombycidae
Description: ovarian small RNA-1711
Source: RNAcentral